RNAcentral lists this ribosomal RNA (253 nucleotides) under uncultured bacterium. RNAcentral describes it as "partial 16S ribosomal RNA". It matches the Rfam family "Bacterial small subunit ribosomal RNA", at positions 524 to 776 of the family's 1533-position model. The record is from RNAcentral.
UACGUAGGGCGCAAGCGUUAUCCGGAAUUAUUGGGCGUAAAGAGCUCGUAGGCGGUCUGUCGCGUCUGCCGUGAAAGUCCGGGGCUCAACUCCGGAUCUGCGGUGGGUACGGGCAGACUAGAGUGAUGUAGGGGAGACUGGAAUUCCUGGUGUAGCGGUGAAAUGCGCAGAUAUCAGGAGGAACACCGAUGGCGAAGGCAGGUCUCUGGGCAUUAACUGACGCUGAGGAGCGAAAGCAUGGGGAGCGAACGGG